Molecule: transfer RNA, 71 nt
Filed under: Planigale sp. AJ-2010
Lineage: Eukaryota; Metazoa; Chordata; Mammalia; Dasyuromorphia; Dasyuridae
Description: transfer RNA-Gln
Rfam family: tRNA
About the family: Transfer RNA (tRNA) molecules are approximately 80 nucleotides in length. Their secondary structure includes four short double-helical elements and three loops (D, anti-codon, and T loops). Further hydrogen bonds mediate the characteristic L-shaped molecular structure. tRNAs have two regions of fundamental functional importance: the anti-codon, which is responsible for specific mRNA codon recognition, and the 3' end, to which the tRNAs corresponding amino acid is attached (by aminoacyl-tRNA synthetases). tRNAs cope with the degeneracy of the genetic code in two manners: having more than one tRNA (with a specific anti-codon) for a particular amino acid; and 'wobble' base-pairing, i.e. permitting non-standard base-pairing at the 3rd anti-codon position.
Source: RNAcentral
UAGGAUAUAGUGUAAUGGGAGCACAAAGGGUUUUGAGUUCUUUAUUAUAGGUUCGAAUCCUAUUAUCCUAG